CUUCAUGGUGCGAGAUUGAAAUGUACAGAGAAGUAUAAAUGGCAGAAGAAGAAUGUGCUCUUGAUUGUGAUUCUCUCUUUGGCGAUGGAGUCUAGUUCUCAGUCAAGAGACAUCAGUGCAUCAGGUUCAUAUUGAGGAGUUGGUGACAGAGAAUGGUGGGUUUGUAUGGAUGUUUUUUGUGGAGAUUCAGUCGACUGCAUGCAGAUGGACAGAGGUGAUGAAGUUCAGUUGGUGGACCGAGUAAUUGUUGUUGAGGCUGAAAUCAGUAAGGAAUCUGAAUUACAUGGCCUGUGUUCGGACUGGGCAUUGGUUUGCGUUGUGAUUUACAACAGACUAAUGAUGACCAGUAUGGAAGAAGAAUGGCCAGGUCUUCAUAAAGGGGGUGUGGAGAAUUCAUGUAGAGUUGCCAGAUGCAUAUUCAUACAAAUCUUUAUUGGAUUCUUGAACAAAAAAUUCACUCCAACGUUGAUGAUUUGAUGAUUUAAGAAUGAUGACGCUUGCAAACUUCUAGAAACUUGGAAUCAAGAGAUGGUGUUCAAAAAUUGAAAGAGGGAGAGUUCAGAGUUCGGUAAUAAGCCAGCUGAAAGUACACAACCUCUGGAACACCGCCUAAACAGGACGGUAUCCAUAUGUGAGCCAGAAGGGGGGUGUAGCUAAGAUUUCUCCGCGUUCACUUAAAUAAGACUCUUCCCACGAGUGUUGGAUGACUUCAAGUGUUGAUGUGGGUGAUAGUGCCUCUAAAUCAAAUUCCCAGGUCUUGUUUCAGAAAGUGAAGGUUCAAUGUCGGCGUCGUUUGAGCGAGAAGGAACAACAACAUGAAAAAAUCGUAAAGGAUUAUUAAAAUUCACAGUGAAGGGUCUGUGCAAGCAAUAAAACAACAGGCGGGUGAGCAUAUCAAGCUAGGUAUUUGGUUUUGCUAUGAUCAAAUAGUUAUGUAUUUUUGCAAUCUAUAAAACCAAUAAAAAUUAAUACUGCAAAAUCAUCUUCCAAAUAGAUAUCCGUAGUACCCUAAGUGUCUACUGUAUACGAAUUAUGAGAAUAUCUCUUCAUCCGGGUAACUCAUAGAUAAGGUUUGAAUUUUUUACAUACUUUAUUGCAGUUGGUGGAUUGGGUUUUGCUGAUACUUGUUAUUAUUGUGUUGUUUGAGUACCGACGUACUUAUCUUUUUGGUCUUAUUAGAAAUGCAAGGACGUAGAAAAGACGCAAAACUAUUACAAGUUUCAGCAUAACACGAAAAUGAUGAAGCUUUCAAUGCUUUACUUUCAGGCUUGAUCAAUGAAGAUGAAAGAAUUACAACUAUUAGCUGAAGUGUGUUACUAUUUGUAAGUCUAAUUGAUUUCACUGCUCUUAGAAGAAUUUGUUAUUAGAAAUAUAAAUACUAACCCAACUUCGGUUAAAAAUCUGAAAGAGCUUAGCACAAGUACCGCUAUCCUCUGCGUUGAUGUUUAAUGACAAUGUUUCCUCCAUAGAUAUUGAGGUGAAUUUAAUACUUCCAUAUUUCCAUUUGUUAUUUCAACCCAAGACCCGUCAGUUAAAAAUCAGUGAGCAUGGAAGUUUUGUCUAAAAUCAGUACGCAAAG
Molecule: long non-coding RNA, 1579 nt
Organism: Papaver somniferum (opium poppy)
Lineage: Eukaryota; Viridiplantae; Streptophyta; Magnoliopsida; Ranunculales; Papaveraceae
Exons: 4
Source: RefSeq, a predicted model, not a curated record